Molecule: ribosomal RNA, 498 nt
Filed under: uncultured bacterium
Lineage: Bacteria
Description: partial 16S ribosomal RNA
Rfam family: Bacterial small subunit ribosomal RNA
Source: RNAcentral
AUUGAACGCUGGCGGCAUGCCUUACACAUGCAAGUCGAACGGUAGCAGGUCUUCGGAUGCUGACGAGUGGCGAACGGGUGAGUAAUACAUCGGAACGUGCCCGAUCGUGGGGGAUAACGCAGCGAAAGCUGUGCUAAUACCGCAUACGAUCUACGGAUGAAAGCGGGGGAUCUUCGGACCUCGCGCGGACGGAGCGGCCGAUGGCAGAUUAGGUAGUUGGUGGGGUAAAGGCUCACCAAGCCUGCGAUCUGUAGCUGGUCUGAGAGGACGACCAGCCACACUGGGACUGAGACACGGCCCAGACUCCUACGGGAGGCAGCAGUGGGGAAUUUUGGACAAUGGGCGCAAGCCUGAUCCAGCCAUGCCGCGUGCAGGAUGAAGGCCUUCGGGUUGUAAACUGCUUUUGUACGGAACGAAAAGUCUCUUUUUAAUAAAGAGGGAUCAUGACGGUACCGUAAGAAUAAGCACCGGCUAACUACGUGCCAGCCGCCGCCGUAA